AUUCCAGCUCCAAUAGCGUAUAUUAAAGUUGCUGCAGUUAAAAAGCUCGUAGUUGGAUUUGUGGCGCGGUCGUCCGGCGGGCCUCCUUCAAUGGGGGCGUUUGUCUGGUUUUUCGACCGCACCAUUCUCGGGUAGUGUGUCGCUGGCAUUAGGUUGUCGGCUUCUUCACGCCCGUCGUUUACUGUGAAAAAAUUAGAGUGUUCAAAGCAGGCUUAGGCCGUUGGAUACAUUAGCAUGGAAUAAUGAGAUAGGGCCACGACGGUCUAUUUUGUUGGUUUGCACGUUGUGGUAAUGAUUAACAGGAACGGUUGGGGGUAUUCGUAUUCAAUUGUCAGAGGUGAAAUUCUUGGAUUUAUGGAAGACGAACUACUGCGAAAGCAUUUACCAAGGAUGUUUUCAUUA
Molecule: ribosomal RNA, 402 nt
Filed under: Phaeophyceae sp.
Lineage: Eukaryota; Phaeophyceae
Description: partial small subunit ribosomal RNA
Rfam family: Eukaryotic small subunit ribosomal RNA
Source: RNAcentral